Molecule: long non-coding RNA, 4849 nt
Organism: Mirounga angustirostris (Northern elephant seal)
Lineage: Eukaryota; Metazoa; Chordata; Mammalia; Carnivora; Phocidae
Exons: 8
Source: RefSeq, a predicted model, not a curated record
CAGAAACAUAAGACAUGGUCUAUUAAUUUCAAGUUCUAUACAGUAGUUCAUCUUGGUCUGUGUAUAUCUUGAAAGUAAAAUUAUGACUUUUAUAAACAUGUUGCAUUGCUGAGGGAGUAUGACUAUCAUGCGGCCAUUUUGUAAAAAUCACAGGUUUAAAAUCUCCAAAUUAAGUUGAUUAAAAUGUUUAGUCGAUUUACAUUUCAUAAAUUCAGUGACAAUUAAACACACAUUCAAUAAUUAGACUACAGCGACAAAAAUUUUUCAGUCUCAUAUUCUUUGUAAAGGCAUCGGAUUUUCUAACUUUGUGUUCACUUUGUUUCAGCUCACCAGAAAAUCAGUUCAAGACACAGAAAAGCAAAUGAAAACUUUAGAAGUACUGAUAAUCAAAUGGGCCUGUUCUCAUAUUUAAUUCCACUUUCCUAUGUCCAAGAAUGAGUUUCAUCAUGGUAUUUUUUCCUCAAAAGAACAUUAAUUUGUUAUCCGAGUUACCUGAUAUAAUAAUGUAUUGACCUAGUUGAUUGGUGUAGUUGAAAGAAGGAGAUUAUCUGUUGCUGAAAUGGAUUAAUAACAUCUCCGCGUUCACUUUUGUUGAUGUUUUCCCCAAACCACACACACUCAAGGUCAUUAUGUGUAGCAGGCCACCAUGGAAGCAGAGGGCUUUAACACAGAGGGCUUUCCUUACGGCUCAGCCCAGCGGGCUCCUCAUGGCACGUACUAGACAUUCUGGUUCUCAGGAGUGCCUUGGCCCCUGCCACCAUUGGAAAGUUCCAAAUGGGCCGGCUCCUCUCACAUCUGCCCUGCUCACCUCCCACGCCUCCAGGAGCUCCAUGCUGUCCCACUUUAUCAUACACAAACGUUUGGCUCAUUUCUCAACCAGGCCAUCGGAGUGUUUCUUUUCUUUUUUUUUUUUUAAAGAUUUUAUUUAUUUAUUUGACAGAGACAGACAGCAAGAGAGGGAAUACAAGCAGGGGGAGUGGGAGAGGGAGAAGCAGGCUUCCCGCUGAGCAGGAAUCCCGAUGCGGGGCUCGAUCCCAGGACUCUGGGAUCAUUACCUGAGCCGAAGGCAGACCCUUAACAGCUGAGCCACUCAGGCGCCCCCCAUCGGAGUGUUUCUUUUCACAGCUGACCAGGAUUUCAGUGGCUAUCUAUGCCUCAACAAAGACACUUCUCUCUCGGAGAGGAUUCGACGUCUAGCUUACAUGUCUUUUCUCCUUCUGGGCCACCUAGGAUGCCAAGUGUGAACAAUAGAAAGAAAAGGAGAAAGAGUACAUUGAAGAAGAUAAAAGAAAACACUUCCAAAUGGGAAAGACGCCACUGGACAAGAAAUACACCCACUUGGGAUUUUGAGAAGCUGCUCGUUGAGGUGAAUCACUGGACAUUUGUGUGACCCAGCAAGAGCCGUUGACAGAGUGACCUACUACCCUCCGUCUGGUUUGAAAAGAUGAGUAAAGAAUCUGGGAAAUGCUAGGCCUCCUCCUGAGUUUUUGUGAUAACCAGAGACACCGCCAUGUGUCCAAGUGGCUGUGGGAUCCUGGCAUCUGGCUGGGAGGCACUGGGGUGGGUGGGGAAGGACAGGGCUGGCUCUUUGCAUUCAGGCCGAUGCCCCACGAUGGUUGGGAUAUUUAUGCUGGGGACCUAGAGGCUCCAGUCCCUCAGUCUGUGUUUACGGGGUGCCGCUUUCCACUGGCUCAUGCCUCCCACCUCCCAUCUCCCCUCUGUUUCCAGGAAACAGUUCUUAAGUAUUCCCUACAAAUUUGCCCUCCAGGUACCUGCUGCUUCAUUCUGUACCCAGCGAUAAGACGGAUAAAAGUCACUACCUGGCUGAGAUGAAGCCUGGGGGUUCAUUUACCCUAAGUGAAAUCACUUGAGGAAGAACUGGCCUCAUUCAUAUGAAGGGCGAGGAAGCUUUUUGACCACAGAGUGACACCAACAUGAAAAUGAUACAAAAUUAAAAGCAAACCGUACCUCAAGGCUUUUUGAAGAGACACAGCGAGAGAGGGAACACAAGCAGGGGGAGUGGGAGAGGGAGAAGCAGGCUUCCCGCGGAGCAGGGAGCCCGAUGCGGGGCUCGAUCCCAGGACCCUGGGAUCAUGACCUGAGCCGAAGGCAGACGCUUAACGACUGAGCCACCCAGGCGCCCCACAGCUGCAUAUUCUUGUGACUAUACUAAAAACCUGUGAAUUGGACACUUUAAAGGAUCAUCAGGUAACCUCAGAGGCUGUCUUGAUCCUUCCGGGAAGGGAUGGAUUUGGAACACCUGGCCCAGAGCCUCGACUCAAAUCUUGCCAACUGUACUAUCAAAGAAAUUCCUCUGGGUUUGUACCCUUCCCAGAUUCGAUGUGUAUGUUAUGUGGAUUUCCGUGCCCCUUGUGGGCGGAGCAAGAACAAAUUGGUGGCCCUUAAAGCAAGGUGGGUGGAGCCUCCACAUAAGGAAAACCUUCAAACCUCAGAAUGGUCUCAACGUGGAAUGGAAUUCCGUGGAAGGCUGUAUCCACCUGGGGCUGGCUUUGUGCAGGAGGGAGGCGGCCACUCCUGAGGCAGCUCUGACUCUGGGCACUGGUAUCUGCGCCCUUGGAGACCAACUGCCUUCUCUCCACACCCUGGACAGCAUGGCAGUCUCUCCCGAGGAUCCAUUUCCAGUGGAACUGGCUAUUUAAAUAGCAGCAUGAGAUGGAAGAAAACACGUUUCACUGAGAAAAGGCCAUCGAUAGUAGUUGUAAGUGUUAAGUUUUCUUUUUUGGGGUCCAUGUGUGCAACUGGUUUAGAAAACCCCAAAUUCAUGUUAUCUUAGACAUUCGGGAAGACAUUGAGGCCUGAUGACAAGGCCCUGCAUCUCAGGGUGCUUAUUAAUUACCUGCAUCCUGCAGGGACGAGCAGGAGUUUGGGAGCAGAGGGGGAACAGGGGCAGAGAGAGAAAGAGAAAUCAGCCACAGAACCCUGGCUUGUAAUGGGAGGAACUACCUCAAGUCCCCUCAUGAGAGUCUAUCUCCUGUUUCUCUGCAGCGAACUUAGCAUGAAAUUUCACUUCUCAGGUGUUCCUUCCCCUCUGUCCUUUUCAGACUCGCUGUCUGUUCUUUCUUUUUAGGUCCCCUGAAGGCAGAUGGGUAGGCUGGCUUUGUUGUGACUCGGUGCCAUUUUGUAGAGUUAAUUCUUCUCUUUCCUCCUUCCAGGAAAAAGAGCAGGGCUUGACAUUAUAAUAGGCCUCCUUAAAUACCUGUAAGAGGGUCAGGUUCACUAAAAUACAAUCAGUUGCUUGUAGGUGAGUAGCAACAAUUCUUGCUCCAAGACCUUAACCUUCCAACCAUUAAAAUGUUAAAUGUAAACAAGAUCGACCCUUCCAUUGCCUUAAAUAAAUGCCUUCUUUUAAAGAACUCAUCCUCGGGUAAAAUUUCCCAGCUACUUUCAUGGAUUUCUCUCCUGAACCUGACAAUUGGCCAUAUCUCUUCCUUCCUAAAUUCUUGUGCUGAGUUUGGUGAGUACGCAGGAGUAAAAUUUCUAAGGCAUGAAGAAAAUUCUGUUACCUUACUGAUGAGCUCCCCUGUUUUUGCUGGCUUGGCUCUAUUGAGCUACAGCCAAAAAGUGACUGUGUCACGCAUGGAUGGAACUCUGGAUGAGGAGGAGGAGAAGCCAAAGGAUGGGAACAGGUGCUACCUAUUCACGGAAUGAAACCCUGUCUUUCUAAGAGAGUAAAACGCCAUAUUUGUGUUCAUAAGGAUCAUCUUUAAUUCAUAGGAUUUGGGGGGAAGGACAUAAAAAUGAUUCUCACACAAAACAAGAUGAGCUAGACUUCAGCUAUGGGCCUGUCAGUACCUUUGGGUGACGCGCAGUGCCCAGAAGCUUCUAGAAAACAAAACAGUCACGGUGGCGAGGUGGGUGAGGAGUGUUCGUUCUGGCCUUGCUCUUGUUGAUACCCAAAGGUUUUGCUUCAGAACUCUGGUCCCCAAAAGGGCUACGGAUGGAUCAAUGCUAUCAAUAAAGGCUCCAGAAAGUUCUUCUUAGCAGUUCUGGGCUCCCUUAGGAAUCAUUUGCUUGACUUUAAGAACUAGGCAUAAAGAACUUCCUCAUCAGGGGGUCAAUGCUGGGGGAUAUUGACCAUGUUGGCGUGACCCGUGUGACAAAUACAACACCUCCAGCAUUUCAGCAUUGUACCCAUGCCUCCGGCCAAAUGUGGUGCUGUCGGGCGAUUCUGUUCUUCUUUUAGGAAAUGUUACUGCUUUCUUCUUAGCCCAGAGCCCUGUCAUCUAACUACAGUAACCCCAGGGGAGGUAGGGAAAAGUUUUCUGUUUGUUUUAGCUGAACAUAGGAUAGUUCCAGCAAAACUGAGUUCUGCUCCCGAGAAAAGAAAAGCAUGGAUGUUCUGUGGGUGGCCAGUAGUUUCUGUCCCCCUUUAUUUUCAUUUCUGGAAAAUGUUGAGUUUAUGAACGUGAAGUGCCCAUUGAUAAUAGAAAUGGUAAUCCGCUACAAGGAAGACACAACUGAUUUUCUGCCCUUGGGUCUAGCUUGGGGAGAGCUUUCUACCCCGGGAAAGGAGAGGGAAGAAGAAAGAGGAGGCUCUGUUAGUAACUACUGGACCCCUAUGAUUGGAAUCUCUUGGUCUAAACCAGCAUCCUUACUUAACAGAUAAGGAAAUUGAGGCCUAGAGAGAUGAACCCCUUUCCCUGCAAGUAUUUAUUGAGUAUCUACAAGGGUCUCUUAUAAGCUCUUGGGACUCACUAGUGAACAAAACAGAAUUCUCUGCCUCGGGGGUCACGUUCCCACCUGCAGGCCCGGGAUGGAGACUGGAAGGCAGGUGUCUUCCAUGCCCAUUGCUUUAUCACUCCGGGCCAAAAGGACUGGAGCUUGAAGG